UACGAGGGGUCCAAGCGUUGUUCGGAAUCAUUGGGCGUAAAGCGGGUGUAGGUGGACUAGUCAGUCAGAAGUGAAAGCCCUGGGCUCAACCCAGGAAGUGCUUUUGAUACUGCUAGUCUUGAGUAUGGGAGAGGAAAGUGGAAUUUCAGGUGUAGUGGUGAAAUACGUAGAUAUCUGAAGGAACUCCGGUGGGGAAGCCG
This 200-nucleotide ribosomal RNA is filed under the name uncultured bacterium. Its description in RNAcentral is "partial 16S ribosomal RNA". It matches the Rfam family "Bacterial small subunit ribosomal RNA", at positions 524 to 723 of the family's 1533-position model. The record is from RNAcentral.